This 318-nucleotide ribosomal RNA is filed under the name uncultured bacterium. RNAcentral describes it as "bacterial LSU rRNA". It matches the Rfam family "Bacterial large subunit ribosomal RNA", at positions 115 to 452 of the family's 2925-position model. The record is from RNAcentral.
UGAAUGGGGCAACCCAUCCUGACAGUUUGUUAUUGUUGCGCGAGCAAUCAAUAAUGGGCUGAAACAGGUAUUUAUGACCUGAAUACAUAGGGUUAUAAAAGCAAACCUGGGGAACUGAAACAUCUAAGUACCCAGAGGAAAGGAAAUCAACAGAUACUCCCCUAGUAGCGGCGAGCGAACGGGGACCAGCCGAGCGAUGAGAGUGACAAGAAGGACCUGGAAAGGUCUGCCAUAGUGGGUGACAGCCCCGUAUUGGAAGCUCAAUUCGACGUAUUAAGUAGGGCGGAACGGGAAAAAUUCUGUCUGAAGAUCCGGAGG